CGGUUGUCCCGGUUUAAGCGUGUAGGCUGGUUUUCCAGGCAAAUCCGGAAAAUCAAGGCUGAGGCGUGAUGACGAGGCACUACGGUGCUGAAGCAACAAAUGCCCUGCUUCCAGGAAAAGCCUCUAAGCAUCAGGUAACAUCAAAUCGUACCCCAAACCGACACAGGUGGUCAGGUAGAGAAUACCAAGGCGCUUGAGAGAACUCGGGUGAAGGAACUAGGCAAAAUGGUGCCGUAACUUCGGGAGAAGGCACGCUGAUAUGUAGGUGAAGUCCCUCGCGGAUGGAGCUGAAAUCAGUCGAAGAUACCAGCUGGCUGCAACUGUUUAUUAAAAACACAGCACUGUGCAAACACGAAAGUGGACGUAUACGGUGUGACGCCUGCCCGGUGCCGGAAGGUUAAUUGAUGGGGUCAGCGCAAGCGAAGCUCUUGAUCGAAGCCCCGGUAAACGGCGGCCGUAACUAUAACGGUCCUAAGGUAGCGAAAUUCCUUGUCGGGUAAGUUCCGACCUGCACGAAUGGCGUAAUGAUGGCCAGGCUGUCUCCACCCGAGACUCAGUGAAAUUGAACUCGCUGUGAAGAUGCAGUGUACCCGCGGCAAGACGGAAAGACCCCGUGAACCUUUACUAUAGCUUGACACUGAACAUUGAGCCUUGAUGUGUAGGAUAGGUGGGAGGCUUUGAAGUGUGGACGCCAGUCUGCAUGGAGCCGACCUUGAAAUACCACCCUUUAAUGUUUGAUGUUCUAACGUGGACCCGUGAUCCGGGUUGCGGACAGUGUCUGGUGGGUAGUUUGACUGGGGCGGUCUCCUCCUAAAGAGUAACGGAGGAGCACGAAGGUUGGCUAAUCCUGGUCGGACAUCAGGAGGUUAGUGCAAUGGCAUAAGCCAGCUUGACUGCGAGCGUGACGGCGCGAGCAGGUGCGAAAGCAGGUCAUAGUGAUCCGGUGGUUCUGAAUGGAAGGGCCAUCGCUCAACGGAUAAAAGGUACUCCGGGGAUAACAGGCUGAUACCGCCCAAGAGUUCAUAUCGACGGCGGUGUUUGGCACCUCGAUGUCGGCUCAUCACAUCCUGGGGCUGAAGUAGGUCCCAAGGGUAUGGCUGUUCGCCAUUUAAAGUGGUACGCGAGCUGGGUUUAGAACGUCGUGAGACAGUUCGGUCCCUAUCUGCCGUGGGCGCUGGAGAACUGAGGGGGGCUGCUCCUAGUACGAGAGGACCGGAGUGGACGCAUCACUGGUGUUCGGGUUGUCAUGCCAAUGGCACUGCCCGGUAGCUAAAUGCGGAAGAGAUAAGUGCUGAAAGCAUCUAAGCACGAAACUUGCCCCGAGAUGAGUUCUCCCUGACCCUUUAAGGGUCCUGAAGGAACGUUGAAGACGACGACGUUGAUAGGCCGGGUGUGUAAGCGCAGCGAUGCGUUGAGCUAACCGGUACUAAUGAACCGUGAGGCUUAACCUU
RNAcentral lists this ribosomal RNA (1451 nucleotides) under Escherichia coli. RNAcentral's name for it is "partial 23S ribosomal RNA". It matches the Rfam family "Bacterial large subunit ribosomal RNA", at positions 1499 to 2925 of the family's 2925-position model. Lineage: Bacteria; Pseudomonadati; Pseudomonadota; Gammaproteobacteria; Enterobacterales; Enterobacteriaceae. The record is from RNAcentral.